RNAcentral lists this ribosomal RNA (330 nucleotides) under Triticum aestivum (bread wheat). Its description in RNAcentral is "partial small subunit ribosomal RNA". Lineage: Eukaryota; Viridiplantae; Streptophyta; Magnoliopsida; Poales; Poaceae. The record is from RNAcentral.
AUGAAGGAUGUGAAGCUUCACCACCAUUCACAACUCCAAUAUGGUCCAGUUCGUCAUGAGGAUCCGGAGCUUCAACUUUUCAGUUCAUCUUUCAUAUGCUUUUUAGUACAUCUACUUCCUCGUCAUAAGUCCAAUUUCCAUUUCAUGUUUCCAGCUUCCUAUAGAACAAACGUGUGCUUGUGGUUAAGCAUGAGAAAUGAGCAUCUGUACUGUCUUUUAUCAGUUUGUAGAGCAAAAUAUGUACCAGAGUCAAAUUCUCAAAAAAAGGCUCUUCUUUGCAUCUUUCAAUGCUCACGGUUCAGUUUGUGUGUGUUACUCCACAAUAUAUAA